GAUGAACGCUGGCGGCGUGCCUAAUACAUGCAAGUCGAGCGAACAGACGAGGAGCUUACUCCUCUGACGUUAGCGGCGGACGGGUGAGUAACACGUGGAUAACCUACCUAUAAGACUGGGAUAACUUCGGGAAACCGGAGCUAAUACCGGAUAACAUGUUGAACCGCAUGGUUCAACAGUGAAAGACGGUCUUGCUGUCACUUAUAGAUGGAUCCGCGUCGCAUUAGAUAGUUGGUAAGGUAACGGCUUACCAAGGCAACGAUGCGUAGCCGACCUGAGAGAGUGAUCGGCCCCCUUGGAAGUGAGCCGCGGUCAAGAAUCCUAAGGGAGGCCGCAGUAGGGUAUCUUCCGCAAUGGGCGAGAACAUGACAGAGCAACGCCGCGUGAGUGACGAAGAUCUUCGGAUCGUAAAACUCUGUUACUAGGGAAGAACAAAUGUGUAAGUAACUAUGCACGUCUUGACGGUACCUGAUAAGAAAGCAACGGCUAACUACGUG
Molecule: ribosomal RNA, 497 nt
Filed under: uncultured bacterium
Lineage: Bacteria
Description: partial 16S ribosomal RNA
Rfam family: Bacterial small subunit ribosomal RNA
Source: RNAcentral